RNAcentral lists this transfer RNA (88 nucleotides) under Eubacterium sp. RNAcentral describes it as "tRNA-Ser". It matches the Rfam family "tRNA". From Rfam's summary of the family: Transfer RNA (tRNA) molecules are approximately 80 nucleotides in length. Their secondary structure includes four short double-helical elements and three loops (D, anti-codon, and T loops). RNAcentral also lists the same sequence under 3 other names. The record is from RNAcentral. Lineage: Bacteria; Bacillati; Bacillota; Clostridia; Eubacteriales; Eubacteriaceae.
GGAGACGUAUCGAAGUGGUCAUAACGGGGCUGACUCGAAAUCAGUUAGGGCUUUGCCCCCGCGAGUUCGAAUCUCGCCGUCUCCGCCA